RNAcentral lists this long non-coding RNA (900 nucleotides) under Cricetulus griseus (Chinese hamster). RNAcentral describes it as "lncRNA (ENSCGRG00015040287.1)". Lineage: Eukaryota; Metazoa; Chordata; Mammalia; Rodentia; Cricetidae. The record is from RNAcentral.
AGCAGGCAUGUCUCUACUCUCCUGGUCUACUGGAAACAGCAAGAAGAGCGCAUCUCUAAAGGCAGGGAGCCAAAAGUUCUGAGCUGAUUAAGACCACUUCCCUCGCUGAGCCCCGUUUCCCUGUCUGGACAGUGAGUCAAAGGCUCAGUUGAAGGUGCUCUUACACUAGGUGGCAGUUCACAGGAACCAGUAUUACACUGAAGCAAGCCAAGCCACUUGUGGCAGAGCUGUUCAGUGCCACUGGCCUUUCAUCUGAAGAUUGAAGAUGCAUUCCAUCACAGAAGUCAUGGUGGCAGGAGUUUGAGGCAGCUUGCCACAUUUCAGCCAAAGCCAGGAAGUGGAGAGAGAUGAACACCGGUGUCCUUUGUUCUUUGUAUCAGUCUAGGACUCCACCCCAUCUGCCCUUGUCAGAACAAAGUAUGUAUGGAACAUUGUACGAAUUCCCAGCAUCCAACAAAGCAAAUAUACAAUGGAUGGAAUCCUGAGAGAAAUAACCCAACCUGUAAUGAAGCAGAAGAGAAGCUAAGGAGAAGGGAAACUGAAUCCAUGGACGGACAUAGGUGAUGGAAUUUGUAGAGACACAGGAAGUGGCCAUUCAGCUGCAUCUGUGCAUGUUCCCAGUACUAUAGGAGAGACGGGCCAUGCCGAGUAAAACCGUGAGAAUCGUUUUACUGCAGAUGCAGAAGUUGAACUUUUAGAGAUGACGAAGAGGAUGCUCUGUUUACUUUUUCGUUUUUUAACUUUUCUCCUUUGUGUUUCAUUUGAUAAUUUCUGUUGCUUGGUCCUUAGUCACAAACCUCCUGCAGUGUUGUAUCUUCUGAUCUAUGUGUUUAUCCCUUGUAGCAAACAUUUUCCUUCAGAAAUAUUCAUUUAAAAAGAUAUUUAAUAAAUGUACAUGUC